AUCCCAUGAUGAGGACAGGCGGCUACGUACUCCUGCAGUCGUUGCCAUGCUUCAGGAAUGGACUCGUCCCUCGUAUGCUAGAAACUGGAAAUCCUUCCAAGAAGGGC
This 107-nucleotide small nucleolar RNA is filed under the name Oryza sativa Japonica Group (Japanese rice). Its description in RNAcentral is "Plant small nucleolar RNA R71". It matches the Rfam family "Plant small nucleolar RNA R71". From Rfam's summary of the family: R71 is a member of the C/D box family of snoRNAs containing the C (UGAUGA) and D (CUGA) box motifs. Multiple nearly identical copies of this snoRNA have been identified in Arabidopsis, and it is thought to function as a 2'-O-ribose methylation guide for 18S ribosomal RNA. The record is from Rfam by way of RNAcentral. Lineage: Eukaryota; Viridiplantae; Streptophyta; Magnoliopsida; Poales; Poaceae.